GUCUAUGGCCAUGGCACCCUGAACAAGCCCGAUCCCGUCUGCUCUCAGAAGCUAAGCAGGGUCGGGCCUGGUUAGUACUUGGAUGGGAGACCACCUAGCAAGACCGGGCAUAAAAAAUA
This 119-nucleotide ribosomal RNA is filed under the name Pteropus alecto (black flying fox). The record is from RNAcentral. Lineage: Eukaryota; Metazoa; Chordata; Mammalia; Chiroptera; Pteropodidae.